This 390-nucleotide unclassified non-coding RNA is filed under the name soil metagenome. Its description in RNAcentral is "partial contains 5.8S ribosomal RNA, internal transcribed spacer 2, and large subunit ribosomal RNA". The stretch from base 1 to 120 matches the Rfam family "5.8S ribosomal RNA", at positions 35 to 154 of the family's 154-position model. The record is from RNAcentral.
GAUGAAGAACGUAGCGAAAUGCGAUAAGUAAAGUGAAUUGCAGAAUUCAGUGAAUCAUCGAAUCUUUGAACGCACCUUGCGCUCCUUGGUAUUCCGAGGAGCAUGCCUGUUUGAGUGUCAUUAAAUUCUCAACCUUUCCAGCUUUUGCGAGUUUGGAUUGGCUUGGAUGUGGAGGUUUGCAGGCUUCUCAGAAGUCAGCUCCUCUUAAAUGCAUUAGCGGAACCUUUGUGGACCAGCUUUGGUGUGAUAAUUAUCUAUGCCAUGGUUGUGAAGCAGUUUUUAUAUGGGGUUCAGCUUCUAACAGUCCAUUGACUUGGACAAUUUCUGACAUUUUGACCUCAAAUCAGGUAGGACUACCCGCUGAACUUAAGCAUAUCAAUAAGCGGAGGA